Molecule: unclassified non-coding RNA, 277 nt
Filed under: Hevea brasiliensis (rubber tree)
Lineage: Eukaryota; Viridiplantae; Streptophyta; Magnoliopsida; Malpighiales; Euphorbiaceae
Source: RNAcentral
UGCGUUUUAGUUAUGGAAGCCAAGGUAGCGCCAAGUUGCACAAGCCUGUGCACUUCCCUCUUGAAUUGGUACUGGGCCGGGAACUGCUUGUUUCUCCAUUGAAUGAGAGCCGAAAAUAUGAACUUGUUGCUACGGUCACUCAUCAUGGGAGGGAGCCUUCAAAGGGUCAUUAUACUGCCGAUGCCCGCUAUCCCAAUGGCCAAUGGCUNNAUUUUGAUGAUGCAUUUGUCACUGCAAUUGGGACAAGCAAGGUGUUGCAUGACCAGGCCUAUGUCCU